UCCUAAGCUGAGGCCGACAGGCGUAGGCGAUGGAUAACAGGUUGAUAUUCCUGUACCACCAUUAUUCGUUUUAAGCGAUGGGGGGACGCAGUAGGAUAGGCGAAGCGUGCUGUUGGAGUGCACGUCCAAGCAGUGAGAUUGAGUGUUAGGCAAAUCCGGCACUCUUAAGAUUGAGCUGUGAUGGGGAGAGGAACUUGUUCCUCGAGUCGUUGAUUUCACACUGCCGAGAAAAGCCUCUAGCUAGAAUAACGGUGCCCGUACCGCAAACCGACACAGGUAGUCAAGAUGAGAAUUCUAAGGUGAGCGAGCGAACUCUCGUUAAGGAACUCGGCAAAAUGACCCCGUAACUUCGGGAGAAGGGGUGCUCUUUGAGGUUCACGCUUCGAAGAGCCGCAGUGAAUAGGCCCAAGCGACUGUUUAUCAAAAACACAGGUCUCUGCUAAACCGUAAGGUGACGUAUAGGGGCUGACGCCUGCCCGGUGCUGGAAGGUUAAGAGGAGUGGUUAGCGCAAGCGAAGCUACGAAUCGAAGCCCCAGUAAACGGCGGCCGUAACUAUAACGGUCCUAAGGUAGCGAAAUUCCUUGUCGGGUAAGUUCCGACCCGCACGAAAGGCGUAACGAUUUGGGCACUGUCUCAACGAGAGACUCGGUGAAAUCAUAGUACCGGUGAAGAUGCCGGUUACCCGCGACAGGACGGAAAGACCCCGUGGAGCUUUACUGUAGCCUGAUAUUGAAAUUCGGUACAGUUUGUACAGGAUAGGUAGGAGCCUUAGAAGCGUGAGCGCUAGCUUACGUGGAGGCAUUGGUGGGAUACUACCCUAAUUGUAUUGGAUUUCUAACCCGCAGCACUUAUCGUGCUGGGAGACAGUGUCAGGCGGGCAGUUUGACUGGGGCGGUCGCCUCCUAAAGAGUAACGGAGGCGCUCAAAGGUUCCCUCAGAAUGGUUGGAAAUCAUUCAUAGAGUGUAAAGGCAUAAGGGAGCUUGACUGCGAGACCUACAAGUCGAGCAGGGUCGAAAGACGGACUUAGUGAUCCGGUGGUUCCGCAUGGAAGGGCCAUCGCUCAACGGAUAAAAGCUACCCCGGGGAUAACAGGCUUAUCUCCCCCAAGAGUUCACAUCGACGGGGAGGUUUGGCACCUCGAUGUCGGCUCAUCGCAUCCUGGGGCUGUAGUCGGUCCCAAGGGUUGGGCUGUUCGCCCAUUAAAGCGGUACGCGAGCUGGGUUCAGAACGUCGUGAGACAGUUCGGUCCCUAUCCGUCGUGGGCGUAGGAAAUUUGAGAGGAGCUGUCCUUAGUACGAGAGGACCGGGAUGGACAUACCUCUGGUGUACCAGUUGUCGUGCCAACGGCAUAGCUGGGUAGCUAUGUAUGGACGGGAUAAGUGCUGAAAGCAUCUAAGCAUGAAGCCCCCCU
RNAcentral lists this ribosomal RNA (1413 nucleotides) under Staphylococcus pseudintermedius. RNAcentral describes it as "partial 23S ribosomal RNA". It matches the Rfam family "Bacterial large subunit ribosomal RNA", at positions 1389 to 2799 of the family's 2925-position model. The record is from RNAcentral. Lineage: Bacteria; Bacillati; Bacillota; Bacilli; Caryophanales; Staphylococcaceae.